RNAcentral lists this ribosomal RNA (500 nucleotides) under uncultured bacterium. RNAcentral describes it as "bacterial SSU rRNA". It matches the Rfam family "Bacterial small subunit ribosomal RNA", at positions 24 to 518 of the family's 1533-position model. The record is from RNAcentral.
UCAGGAUGAACGCUGGCGGCGUGCCUAAUACAUGCAAGUCGAACGAGGUAGCAAUACCGAGUGGCGAACGGGUGAGUAACACGUAGGUAACCUGCCCUUAAGCUUGGGAUACCCAGAGGAAACUUUGGCUAAUACCGGAUAACAACAGAGAAGGCAUCUUCUUUGCUUGAAAGGCCCCUUCAAGGGUCACUUAAGGAUGGACCUGCGGCGCAUUAGCUAGUUGGUGAGAUAACAGCCCACCAAGGCGAGGAUGCGUAGCCGAACUGAGAGGUUGAUCGGCCACAUUGGAACUGAGACACGGUCCAAACUCCUACGGGAGGCAGCAGUAAGGAGUUUUCGGCAAUGGGGGGAAACCCUGACCGAGCAACGCCGCGUGAGCGAUGACGGCCCUAUGGGGUUGUAAAGCUCUGUUGUAAGCCAUGAAUGAUAGCUUGAGGAAAUGCAAGUUAUUUGACGACAGCUUACCAGAAAGCCACGGCUAACUACGUGCCAGCCGCCGC